RNAcentral lists this ribosomal RNA (363 nucleotides) under uncultured eukaryote. RNAcentral's name for it is "SSU rRNA". It matches the Rfam family "Eukaryotic small subunit ribosomal RNA", at positions 567 to 942 of the family's 1831-position model. The record is from RNAcentral.
CCAGCAGCCGCGGUAAUUCCAGCUCCAAUAGCGUAUAUUAAAGUUGUUGCAGUUAAAAAGCUCGUAGUUGAAUUUGUGGUGAUCCCCACGGUCCAAUUUUGGUACUUGUGGGGAUUGCCAUCCUUGGAUGGAUCCUGUGUGGCAUUAGGUUGUCGUGCAGGGGAUAUCCAUCGUUUACUGUGAAAAAAUUAGAGUGUUCAAAGCAGGCUUACGCCGUUGAAUAUAUUAGCAUGGAAUAAUGAGAUAGGACCUUGGUACUAUUUUGUUGGUUUGCGCACCAAGGUAAUGAUUAAUAGGGACAGUUGUGGGUAUUCGUAUUCCAUUGUCAGAGGUGAAAUUCUUGGAUUUCUGGAAGACGAACUA